Molecule: RNA transcript, 1792 nt
Organism: Quercus robur (English oak)
Lineage: Eukaryota; Viridiplantae; Streptophyta; Magnoliopsida; Fagales; Fagaceae
Gene name: alpha-L-fucosidase 1-like
Exons: 4
Source: RefSeq, a predicted model, not a curated record
AUUAUUACCAACUUAUACUUUAGAGAGGGAAAAACAAAAGGUAUAGAAGAAAAACAGCCACCAGAAUUAUGUUUAAGCUAUGGUGCGCUUUGUGCACAAGCAUACUUUUUCUACUAUUCAAUUUUGCAAUUUCUAGUCUUGCAAUUGUGCCAACAACACCACCAUUGCCAAUUCUUCCCCUUCCAGCAUUUUCUCAAUUGAAAUGGCAACAAAGGGAAAUCAUAAUGUUCUGCCACUUUGGAGUUAACACAUUCUCUGACUCUGAAUGGGGCACAGGCAAAGAAAACCCAGCCAUAUUCAACCCAGUUGGGCUUGACGCAAAUCAAUGGGUGAACACAGCUGUGGAGGCAGGAAUUUCUCUCAUGAUCCUAACUGCAAAACACCAUGAUGGGUUUUGCUUGUGGCCUUCAAAGUACACUGACCAUUCUGUGAAAAGGAGUCCUUGGAAAAAUGGGAAAGGUGAUGUUGUUCAAGAGUUUGUCAAUGCGGCUAAGGCCCGUGGCGUUGAUGUGGGGAUAUACCUAUCACCAUGGGAUCGACAUGAUAAAAGAUAUGGGGAUGAUUUACAAUACAAUGAAUACUACCUAGCCCAACUACAAGAGCUACUCAAUAACUAUGGUAGUGUUAGAGAAAUUUGGUUUGAUGGAGCAAAGGGCUCCAAUGCACCAAACAUCUCAUAUUACUUCUCAGAUUGGUUCUAUAUGGUGAAGGAGUUGCAAAGUUCUAUCAACAUAUUUUCCGACGCCGGCCCGGACGUUAGGUGGGUCGGAAAUGAGAAAGGGUUCGCCGGGAGCACAUGCUGGUCUACCGUCAAUCGGACUUCACUAUCAAUUGGAAAUGCAAGCAUUGAAAACUUACUUAACACUGGCGAUCCACGAGGGACCGAUUGGGUGCCACCAGAAUGUGACGUUUCUAUCAGACCCGGAUGGUUUUGGCAUAAAUCAGAAUCACCAAAAAAAUUAAGCCAGCUACUAGAGAUUUACUAUAAUUCAGUGGGACGAAACUGUUUGCUACUUCUAAAUGUGCCUCCUAAUACAACUGGGCUUAUAUCUGAUACUGAUGUUCAUAGAUUGAAGGAGUUUAGGAGUGCAAUUGACACAAUUUUUUCAGCCAAUUUGGCUGAGAAGGGCAUUGUAAAAGCUAGCAGCCAAAGAGGAGGCAAAGUGGGAGGUUUUGGACCUGAAAAUGUGCUAGAUAGUGACCAUAUAUGGACCUAUUGGGCACCAAGGGAUGUGGAUGUAAAGGACCCUUGGAUUGAAAUUAGAGGGACAAGUGAAAUGCUUAGAUUUAAUGUGGUAAGGAUUCAAGAAGCUAUAGGGCUUGGUCAGAGGAUCAAACGGCAUGAAAUUUAUGUGGAUGGUAAGAUGGUAGCAAAUGGAACCACUGUGGGGUACAAGAGGCUUCACAGGCUAGAUGAGGGAAUAGUCCAUGGCCAAGUUGUGAGGAUAAGAAUUAGAGAAUCAAAGGGUUUGCCUUUGAUUUCUUCAAUUGGUCUACACCUUGACCCCUUUUGGCACCCAAAUGAGCAGUGAUCUAAGUGAAGAUUAAGUGCAUGAAGUUUCAAAGUAUCCAUAAAGAAAUAAAUAAAAGGCACCAAGCACCUUAUUCCAGGCUUUCCAGCCCAUUAAUGACCAUAUUUUAUUUUGAAAGCCAAUGUGGCGUUUACAGUGCAGAUACUAUUGUAUAAUUGAUCUAUGAUUACUGAUUAUUUUAAAAUAAAAAAGAUUGCGAGAUCGAAAAUUCCCUAAAUAAUUAAUAAUUAAUGUGAGAUUUAGUGGGGGCAUUGCUUGUU